AGCGGCGCACGGGUGAGUAACGCGUACAUGACCUACCUCUAAGACUGGGAUAGCCCUGGGAAACUGGGAUUAAUACCGGAUGUGAUAAUAUGUAUAGAGAUGUAUUAUUAAAGAUGAGUCGCUUAGAGAUGGGUGUGCGUAUGAUUAGCUAGUUGGUAGGGUAACGGCCUACCAAGGCGACGAUCAUUAGGGGGCGUGAGAGCGUGGCCCCCCACACGGGUACUGAGACACGGACCCGACUCCUACGGGAGGCAGCAGUAAGGAAUAUUGGUCAAUGGACGGAAGUCUGAACCAGCCAUCCCGCGUGCAGGAUGACGGCCCUAUGGGUUGUAAACUGCUUUUAGCAGAGACGAAACGCCUUCAUUUAUGGGGGUCUGACGGUAUCUGCAGAAUAAGCACCGGCUAACUCCGUGCCAGCAGCCGCGGUAAUACGGAGGGUGCAAGCGUUAUCCGGAAUCACUGGGUUUAAAGGGUGCGUAGGCGGGGAAUUAAGUCAGUGGUGAAAGCCUGUCGCUUAACGAUAGAAUUGCCAUUGAUACUGAUUUUCUUGAAUUGGGUUGAGGUUAGCGGAAUGUGACAUGUAGCGGUGAAAUGCAUAGAUAUGUCAUGGAACACCAAUUGCGAAGGCAGCUAGCUGGGCCUUGAUUGACGCUGAGGCACGAAAGCGUGGGUAGCGAACAGGAUUAGAUACCCUGGUAGU
Molecule: ribosomal RNA, 700 nt
Filed under: uncultured bacterium
Lineage: Bacteria
Description: bacterial SSU rRNA
Rfam family: Bacterial small subunit ribosomal RNA
Source: RNAcentral